GAGAGAGGUGAGGGAAAGACUGCCUUCUAGAAAUUUGGUGUGAGCCAGACCCCCGCUAUCCUAGUGUCAUUUGCACACCAGGGCUGGAAGGAGGAGCAGGUGUGGGUGGGGUGGUCAAGAGCUCGUUCCAGGUGGCUCUGAGCAUCCCAGGAGAAAGGGGGAGGCAGACUCAGGUACUGGGUCCUGGAACUCGGGGAACGGUCUGGACAGACAUGCGAGGACUUGUGUAUCCUGCAGAGGGCUUAGCUUUUGCGCUGGAGGCUGUGGAGACAGUGUCACAAGUGGGAAUGGCAGGAUCUGAUCUGGGAUUUAAAAGCCUCCCUCUGGCAGCCAAAAGCCUGUUGUAGACUUGUCUCUGUAAUCUGGGCUAUGGGGAUUGAGGGGGAGGUCGGGGAGGUCUAGGAGAAGGCAGAGGUAGGCUUAAGCCAUGGGCUGCAGAGGGGCACCGCUGUCCGCUGCCUCGCUGGGGAGACUGUGCUACUGUCGGCUGGGAUGAGCCUACAGGAGCCCUCAGUUCUUGUGCCAAGGCCAGGAAGUGCUAGACUGGACGAGGGUUUUGGUUUAUACUUGUCAUUCAGGAGCCAAUGCCAAAUCCUACCUAAAAUCCAAACCAUCCUACCUAAAAAACCAAACAAGAACAAAUGAUCUAGUGCUUCCUGACUUUUGGUGACAGAGAUCCCCACGUGGCAGCUGCACAGUCAGUGUCACCAGCUGUGCUCAAGAGCUGGGCACCUUCAGAGUUGUAAAACCAGAGCCAACAUGCCCGGGCUCCAGCCCACCACCUUCUUCCCACAGCGGGUAUUGACACAGUGAGACUGAGCUUGGACACGGGUGGGAUCGUGCAGAGUUGCCAGGUAGCCAGACCCACCCUGUGAUUCUUCAGCUGCGCCGCUUGCCCAAGGCACCACGUGAGGCCACCAGUUUCACUCAGUUCAGGUCUGCCCAGGGUGGUGGCCAGACUGGAGACUCCUCCCACGGCAGAAAGGCAUUCCCACCUGGCUGGAAACUGCCAUGGUGGUGGCAGUCCUGUGCCUCUGAGUGGCCAUUGACCCUUGGAGAGCCUGAUGAAAGCUAUGGACCCUCUUCCAAAAAAAAUGCACAUCCACAGCUGGGCACGGUGGCUCACGCUUAUAAUCCCAGCAUUUUGGGAGGCCAAGGCAGGUGGAUCACCUGAGGUCAGGAGUUCGAGAUCAGCCUGGCCAACAUGGUGAAACCCCAUCUCUACUAAAAAU
RNAcentral lists this long non-coding RNA (1232 nucleotides) under Homo sapiens (human). Its description in RNAcentral is "non-protein coding lnc-HYDIN-1:1". Lineage: Eukaryota; Metazoa; Chordata; Mammalia; Primates; Hominidae. The record is from RNAcentral.